AUUAAGUUUUGUAAUUAUAGUGUGUACAAAGGUUACAGGAAGACAGAAGAAGGAGAAAAUAGUCAAUGUAUUUAAUCAUCCCAGCAACCGUGGGAGACAGGAAUUGUUGGCUCAUUUUCACAGAUGGGGAAACUGAGCUAAAACUCCUCAUGAAAUCUACAUGGAUGGAUGACAUGCAGGAAGAAACAUAAGCCAUUUCUUCUCAGAGUUCACCAUAUCACUAAGAAUGAUCAGAAUGAUUGUGAAGCACCGGAAAACUCCUAAACAUGAGAAAAAGAAGAUAAUUUAGAGUUUGUUUAUCAGAGCAUCCAGAAGUAACUGAAGCAAGGCACCUAUGAACUCUGCCUUCCUGGCUCAGAAGCCAGUGCUGACCAGGAACUGUGUACAGGAAAGGGAGCUGCCGCCUGCUGACUGAUCCUGCGGAUCCUGCAGGGGUUGGAUGAGCAGCUUUGCCCUGUCAUAUCCCAGCCUAUCCUCCUGGUCCAGCAGCCCUCCCUGGCCCUCACUGCAGCUCACCAGUAACCCGUUUCUGUUGUGCAGAACUGGAGACCUCUCUUCCAAUGCGCAUUUGCACCAGGGUCUGCUUCUCUCAGAUUCUCUCUCUGGUCUGUGUCCAAGCAUACAGGCCAGAACCCAAGGCCAACCUUACUAUGCAUCCAAGGUUUCAAUUAAAUAAUGGGUUUGGGGGCAGUCGGUCUGGCUUGACUUAGUAUAUAUUAAUAGUACCUGAUUUACAAAUCCCUGCAAUAAGAAAAGGGUUCUGACUGGGGUUUACUACAAGGGCUCUCGGCAUCCAGCAGGAAUGGAGAGUCACCCCUUUGGGAUGGGGUAAGGAGCAGCCCCAAAAGGCUCAGAUGUGCCUAAGAGGUGUCACAGCUGGGUGGCUGCUGGGGAAACAAACCAAUUUUCUUAAUCAUUUGAAUUGGCUGAAUAAAAGAGAAAAUAAGUCAAGAGAAAAUAAAAUGAGGCUAUUAGAGAAAGAAGUCCUUGGGUACAGAGGUUGUUUCCGGGGGAGGGGGACAAUGUUUAUUAAUUCAAAUGUCUAUCUUAUUUUUUCCAAAGGCCAAUUCCUUUGGGUGCCCUAAUGUCAUUUUCUUUCUUGAUAAGUAUG
RNAcentral lists this long non-coding RNA (1111 nucleotides) under Homo sapiens (human). RNAcentral describes it as "HSALNT0373419". Lineage: Eukaryota; Metazoa; Chordata; Mammalia; Primates; Hominidae. The record is from RNAcentral.